AGUCAAUAGAUACCCGGGUAGUCCACGCCGUAAACGAUGAAUACUAGGUGUAGGGGUUGUCAUGACCUCUGUGCCGCCGCUAAACGCAUUAAGUAUUCCGCCUGGGGAGUACGGUCGCAAGAUUAAAACUCAAAGGAAUUGACGGGGGCCCGCACAAGCAGCGGAGCAUGUGGUUUAAUUCGAAGCAACGCGAAGAACCUUACCUAGACUUGACAUCUCCUGAAUUACUCUGUAAUGGAGGAAGCCCUUGGGGCAGGAAGACAGGUGGUGCAUGGUUGUCGUCAGCUCGUGUCGUGAGAUGUUGGGUUAAGUCCCGCAACGAGCGCAACCCUUAUUGUUAGUUGCUACCAUUAAGUUGAGCACUCUAGCGAGACUGCCGGGUUAACCGGAGGAAGUGGGGAUGACGUCAAAUCAUCAUGCCCCUUAUGUCUAGGGCUACACACGUGCUACAAUGGCUGGUACAGAGAGAUGCUAAACCGCGAGUGGAGCCAAACUUUAAACCAGUCUCAGUUCGGAUUGUAGGCUGAAACUCGCCUAC
RNAcentral lists this ribosomal RNA (538 nucleotides) under uncultured bacterium. Its description in RNAcentral is "bacterial SSU rRNA". It matches the Rfam family "Bacterial small subunit ribosomal RNA", at positions 775 to 1319 of the family's 1533-position model. The record is from RNAcentral.